Molecule: ribosomal RNA, 300 nt
Filed under: Escherichia coli O157:H7 str. EC4401
Lineage: Bacteria; Pseudomonadati; Pseudomonadota; Gammaproteobacteria; Enterobacterales; Enterobacteriaceae
Description: SSU rRNA
Rfam family: Bacterial small subunit ribosomal RNA
Source: RNAcentral
AGAUUGAACGCUGGCGGCAGGCCUAACACAUGCAAGUCGAACGGUAACAGGAAGAAGCUUGCUUCUUUGCUGACGAGUGGCGGACGGGUGAGUAAUGUCUGGGAAACUGCCUGAUGGAGGGGGAUAACUACUGGAAACGGUAGCUAAUACCGCAUAACGUCGCAAGACCAAAGAGGGGGACCUUCGGGCCUCUUGCCAUCGGAUGUGCCCAGAUGGGAUUAGCUAGUAGUGGGGUAACGGCUCACCUAGCGACGAUCCCUAGCUGGUCUGAGAGGAUGACAGCCACACUGGAACUGAGAC